RNAcentral lists this long non-coding RNA (9475 nucleotides) under Marmota monax (woodchuck). Lineage: Eukaryota; Metazoa; Chordata; Mammalia; Rodentia; Sciuridae. The record is from RNAcentral.
AGGUGUUUAACAGGGGAAUUGAUUUUCUGGUGGAUGGGUUUUGAUGACGAGAUAAGACAAUUUCCCAUUUUGGCAAUGGAGGAAUGUUCACCAUAUUUGGAUUUGCUUCAUUUCUCUGACACGGAUUUCACCAAGCUCAUGUAAAAGUUGGUGAUGGUUGACAUAGUUAGCUGAUUAAACUGAUUACUCAAGUGGUGGCAAUGGCUAGGUUAGCCUUCUGUCCCUUUUACUUUCUGGACCUGGGUUUAUGAUUAGAGCUAAGUAUUUACCAAAAGAGCUGACCGAUUACAAUAACUGAAAAGAACCUUCUGGGAUGUUUGGCUCAGUCCUCAGCUAAAGGUAAGGCCCUUAAAACAUUCUUAACAUUUCUGCCAGGAACUGUUGUAUAUAUCUGUAUACAUGUGACUGUAAAUGCUACUUUGGAUCCCAUAGACUGUUUUAUUUGACUGUCUGCCUGCUUGGAGAACUUUAAAUAUAAAAUAAAUCAGCUAUAAGGACUUUAAGACUUUAAACUCUUUUAUUUAGUAGAUCUUGAGCUGAAUCCCAUCAAAGUUAAAUCACUUGCAUGAUUUCAUCUAAUUAGGAAAUCUAAAAAUCAGGAACCAAGAACCUGAUCUAAGAUACUUUCCACUCUUUAAGUCCAAAAAUGAGAUUUGUGUUCUUUUUCCAAAAUGAAGAUUCUUAUAAAGUCAUAUUUCAGUGGUUCCAGCUCCUGAUCUAAGUGAUGAAUUCAUCUAAGUACUUUGGAAACAGGUCCUCCUUAUGGUUUAUACUUCAAGACUAAAGACACUUAAAGUAUAUUAAUAUUGGUUUUUAAAAAAGAUGUUAUCUGUUAUAACCUAUGGCCCUAAGUUUCAAGAUAUACAGCAUUUCUAAAAGAUUACUGAAAUAAGACAUGCUUGUUCUUUCUUGACACAUGGAUCUAAAAUUGACCCUGUCUACUAUUCAUUAUGAAAGUCAAUAAUCAGGGCACUUAGGAGGUAGCUGAACUAAUUCUUACCACACUGAUAUAAUAUUUCCACAUACUCACUAAGCAGUGAUACAAGUAGACUAACUUCUGAUUUUUUUUCCCCCCAGAGAGAACACUACAAAUCUCACCCAUAUCCAGAUCAAUAGUAUGAUUUCUUAGGAAUCAAGAAUCAACAUUGGGUUAUUUCCGACUGUUAACCUUGAGAGCCCACUUGGACACUGCAGCAAGAAAGGAUAACCAUCCACCCACUUGGACAUGAAAAAUGAUCUUCGAUCAGGGAUUUCUGUCUCUUCAGCUAAACCACCAGAAAUAGAAGGAACACCGUUCUGACCAAACUCAUCCAGAUGAAUCAAGUCAACCCUUUUUAGCAAGGAGUGGAGCUGCAGAAGGGUGGCCAGGUCACUGUCUUCUGCUCGCACCAUCAUUGAGCAGCCUCCUCCAGAACUGCCACCUAGAGUGGUCCUCCCACUCACAGGUCAUUGUGUAUUAGGGUGUUACUGUGUCUUCCCAGGCAAUGUGGCUCUUUUUCUAAUUUGCACCAAGGCAUCUAUAUGGGCUAGUGCCAGCUCUGACUAUUCUGCCCCUAACCUGAGUCCUAUCCAGGAUUAUAUUCCUUACUUUGAAUGAAUUAGUAAUUCUGAAGUACAAAUUAGGUUUAUUGUGAAAGAUGAGAUAUUUGAUUUAAAUUGAAAAUGCGUUUCAUAAGUAAAGCUCAAAAUAUGCAAGUGAAUUUUGUAUAUAUGUGUCUAUGUAUAUAUAUUUGGACAUAUAUUUCUAUCAUCAGAAGGUAGGACAACUUUGAAAAAAGAAGUUAGGCCAACUUAAAUUGCUAAAUGUUUAAAAGAAAACUAUUUGGGGUUUUGGAAUCAGUUUAAUAUGGAUUUCUGGCCUUCACAGAAAUAUAUAUUAUUUAAUUCCAUUUCAACAUUCCCCUAUGCUAAGCAAUAUGUAUACAGUUUUGGAAAAUGAUACAAACACUCAGCCUCUAGAUAGUUAAUCAUCUAGUAAGGAAGACAAAUGAUAAGGUUACAAAUAAAUUUAUAGCUGUAAAUUAUAAUAAGUGCUUUGAAAGAAAUGCCAAGAUGAAGGAUAACAAAUCACAUCCAUCCCAAGAUUAAGUGACUGGAAAGAGCUUCUCUGGGGAAAAGACAUUUCAACUGAACCCCAGGGGUGCGUCAGAGUUUAUGAAGUGACUUCACCUUCCCAUUUAAAGUAGAGAAGCAUUUGAAUUGAGAACAGAAUUUGGCACAUUUAAGAGAACAAAAGUGCAGAAUAAAAUAGAUAACUAAGAAAAGAGGCCAGAGACCAAAUUCACAGUAUCACCACUAAGGAAGUUUGGGAGACCUUGCUACUACUGUGUGAUUCCACAGAGGAAGGUCUGCCGACAGAGGCGAAGAAUAAAUCCACAUCUUUUAAAAUUUGAAGAUUGGUUAUAGUUCAAGUGCCCUGACACAGUGGUGGAGCUACUGGUUAAUAUGUCUUUCAGAAGUUGGCAUUUCUGUGUGCCAGACACUGCUCUGGGGACCCAGCAAUGAGCAAACUUCUCCUGGAGCUUGUUCUCAUGUGGGAAAUAGAGAACAAAUAGCUGUGGACCAUAUGUGGCAUUCAAUGCAUAGACCAAAGGAAUCAUGAGGAAGAAGGGUGCAGCAGUUGAGAGAAAUAGUUAUUUCACAGACACAGGAAAGGUGUCUACUGAGUGAGUGAUUGGUCAUACAUGAAGCAGCAAGCCAUGAGGAUGCAGGUAUCUAUGCACAGGGAAUGGCAAAUGAAAGCUAUGAACACACCAGCACUCUUGUUGUGUUCAAGAGUUAGCAAAGAGGCCUAUGUGACUGAGGGGAACAGGUGACUGAGAAAGUGACAAGAAGGAGGAAAGAGAAAUAACCAGGGCCCAGAUCUUGUGAGCAGUUAUGGACUGAAACUCUUAUUGAAUAAGUAAGUCAGGGAUCUUAUCAGAAAUAAACUCUUAACUAUUUUCACAAAGUGAAUUAAAUGUAAGGAAUUGGUUAAAUGGAUGUCCAAGAACUACAAGAGCUAAAAGGGAACACUAAAGAGGAAUUCCUGAGGCUGCUGCAUCCCCAGGCUUGGGGCAGCUGGGGGAGAGUUAGUGUUGACAGGACCCAGAAACUUGCACCAGCUCUGGAGAUGUGGUUGCUGCCCAUUGGUGCUGAUCCCCUGAGAUGGUGAAAAGAAGUCCAUCAUAGGAGUGCCCGCUAGCCUUUUAAUUAAUUAAUUAAUUAAUUUUUUAAUGUAGGUAUUUUCUCUUUUGUUCUGCCUUGGCCACUUCCCACCAAUUUGAAAUGUUUUGCUUGUUUAUUUUCAUUCAGUUCAAAAUACUUUCUAGCAGUCCCCACCCCCAAGUUCUUUGACCCAGAGGUUAUUGAGAACUGGACCUUUUAGAUGUUUGGGGAUCUUCUGUUGUUAAUUCUAACUCAGUUCCAUUGCAGUCAGAGAGUAUACUCCAUAUGCAUUGAAUUUUUAAAUUUUGAGACCUUUUUAUGGGCAGGAAAAUUGUCUGUCUUGGCAAGCAUUUUAUAAACAAAAGAAUGUUUUGCUAUUAUGGAGUGGAGGGUACUGAAGGGUCAGGUCACUUUGGUAGAUAAUGUGGUCCAAGUUGUCCCUUAUAUUGACUUUCCAUCUGUUCAUUCUAUCAGUUAUUGCAGAAAGGAUACUGAUAACUAAUAUAUGGCAGAUUUUCUGUUUCUUGCAGAUCUGCCCACUUUUGCUUAGUAUAUUUUGAAGCUUUGCUUUUAGGUGCAUGAAUGUUUAGGGUUGUUAUGUCUUUGUGACAACUCGACCCUUUUGCCAUUAGGAAAUCUUUCUCUAUCCCUAGUAAUAUGUUUUGUUCUGAACUCCUCUGCCUGCUACUCAUUUAACCAAUCCUGCUGUCUUUUGAUUAGCACUAAACAUGGUGUAUCUUUUCCCGUCCUUUUACUUUUAUCCUGUUUCUGUCUGUAUAUUUAAAGUAUAUUUAUUAUGGGCAUCAUAUGGUUGGGUUUCACUUGUUUUUGCCAAAGUAACAUGCUAUGACUUUUAGUUGAGAUGUGUAUACCCUUUACGUUUGAUGUGAUGAUUGAGAUAGUUUAAAAUCUAUCACCUAACUAUUUGUUUUCUGUUUUGUCUUAUCUAUUCUUUGUUCACUUCUCUUUCUCUACUUUUUGAUUAAUUAAAUAUUUUUAUUAUUCCAUUAUAUUAUUGGCUUAUUAGCUCUAAUUUUUUAAUGGUUAUUUCAAGAGGUCAACAUUAUAUUGUAUUAUAGUUAAUAUCAUAUCACUUUAUUAUAAGAACUUUAAAGCAGUGUACAGUUGUCCUUUGGUAUCUGUGGGAGCUUGAUUCCAAGACCCCCUGCAAUCAUACCAAACGCUUAUUGAAAUUGGCAUACUAUUUGCAUGUAAUCUAUGCACCUCCUCCCCGGUACUUUAAAUGACUUCUAGAUUACUACCCCCCCCCCAUGUUAUACUUUUUCUCCCUCUCUUCUAGAUUACUUAUAAUAGCUAUAGCGAUGUAAAUGCUAUGUAACUAGUUGUUAUUUUGUUUAGGGAAUAAUGAGAAGGGACAAGUGUCUGUACAUGUUUAGAGCAGAUGCAGUCUUUUUUUUCUAAUAUUACUGAUCUGCCAUUGAUCUGCAGCGUCCACAGAUUUAGAAGCCAAAGGUCUGAAGAGCCAAUGGUCUUCACCUCUCUCUCGUACCCUUUGCACAUAUGCAUUACCUAUGUUACAAACUUCAAUGUGAAUUGAUAUUUCCUUUUUUAGAUAGAUAUUUAUCUUUUAGAGAGAUUUUAAGACAAGAAUAAAAGUCUGUUACCAAUAUGCUCAUUAUUUUUGGUGCUUUCCAUUCAUUUCUAUCUAGUGUGAUUUUCCUCCUGCCGUGAUGACAGUUCUUAUAAUACAGGUUUGUGGGUGAUGAUCUUAUUUUCAUUUUUUUGUGUGUCUGAGAAAUAUCUUUACUUUUGAGAGACAUUUUUACUGGGUGUAGAGCUUUAGGUUGACAGUUGUUGUUGUUUUUUUUUUAAUCAGUAUAGAUGAUUCCUGACUUACCAUGGUUGGAAAGAUGACUCUUCAACUUUCCAGUGGUGUAAAAGUGUUUUGGUAGCAACUGUACAUUGGAUUUUUAAUUUUGAUCUUUCCUCUAUGUCUAGAGCAUGCAGAAGAAUGCUCUCUUGUGAUACUGGGCAGCAGAAGUGACCUACAGCUCCCAGUCACCCAUGUGAUCACAAGGGGAAGGAACUGACUCUCUAUAUGUACUGUGUUGCUGAACUAUGAUGUUCAGUAGGCUAGAUGCAUUAAGAGAAGUUUUGAUUUAUGAUAUUUCUAACUUAUAGUGGAUUUAUUAUGAUAUAAAUUGAGGAGCAUCUAUACCUUAAAUAUUUUUGAGACAGCUCCACUGUCUCCUUAAUUACAUUUUCCAGGGAGAAAUUAUUCUCAUUCUUAUUUUGUUCCUCUGUAUAUAAUUCCUUUAUACUCUGGUUGCUUUUCAUAUUUUUUUUCUUUAUCAAUUGGUUUCAGGUUCCCUCUGUAUGCUAUUUUAGAUUUUUUUUUAAUGAUUCCCAGGUUACUAGUUGUUAAUUAUGCAAUGUCUAACUACUAUUUAUCCCAUCCAGGUUUUAUUUCUUAUUUUUUAUUCCUUAUUCCCUUUCAGGUAUUGAAUUUUUAUCUCAAAAAGUUUGGGUCUCUUUAACUCCUUGAAGUCGGUCCUUUACCAGAUUAGUCUUUCCUCUACAUUCUUGAACAUUCUUGAACAUAUGGAGUGCACAGUUUUAAUAACUAUUUUAAUGUUGUCUUGAACUCAUUCUUUUUGAUUUUUUUCCUCCUAACUGUGGUUCAUAUUUUCCUGCUUCUUUGCAUGUCUGCUAUUUUUUGUGUUGAGAUUCUGUUAUGGACUAAAUGUGAAGCCACAAAAUUCAUAUAUUGAAACCCUAGCCCCUAAUGUGAUGGGGGUGUUGCGAGGUAGGACUUUUAGGAGGUCAUCAGGUCAUGGAGCUGGAGUCUUCAUGAAAUGAUUCCCCAGAGAGCUCUCUCACGCUUCUUGUGCCAUGUGAGGAUCCAGGAAGAGGUGGACUACCUGCAUUCUGUAAGAGGACCCUCAUCAGGGCCAGACCAUGCUGGCACCCUGACCUGGGACUCUCUAGCUUCCAGAACUGUGAGAAAUAAAUGUUCAUUGUUUACGUCUUAAACAGUAUCACUUUUUUGUGUAUAGGAAGGUUUUUGACAACCAAUUAAUUUCUUUCAUACAUCUAGCAUGUAACAAUGCCAUGGGUGAUUCAUUUCCAUAGUCAUUUUGUUAUAGUAGCCCAAAUUAACUAAGGCAGAUUCCAAACUUUGUAAUUACCCUUGUAGAAUGUUUGACAUAGUUUCCAAUAAAUAUUUUAUUUUAUUUUGGUACCAAGGAUUGAACUGAGGGAUGCUUAACCUUUGAGAAACAUCCCAGCCCUUCCCCCCCCCCCCUAUUUUGUUAAGUUCCCUCAGGCCUCGCUAAGUUGCUGAAGCUAGUUUUGAACUCUUGCCUCAGUUUCCCAAGCUGCUGGGAUUUUAGGUGUAUGCCACUAUGCCUGUCUACAAUAAAUAUUUUUGAGCUUUAUUCUGAAGUGCAGUUAAAUUAUUUUCUAAAAGUCGGAUCUUUCGAUUUUGUGAUUAAAUUUUGCAAAACCAGAACCACUUUUAACCCAAAGCUAAUUUCCUCAUCCUGGACACACUGUCUAAUUUUCCUUGAUUACGAGGAACUUUUCUUAGACCUAUGUGAGAUCUAAGGUCCUACUCCUUCCAAUUGGCUCUUUCCAUGUUCUCAGGCAAUUCCCCCAUAUGUGUCUUCUAUUAAAUAUUCAGUGGAAGACUGGAGGGGUUUCCUCUGUGGCUCUCCUCGGCUCUUGCUCUUACUCUGCUUUUGAAUUCCAGUUUCUCUGGCCUCUCUGGACUCCAUGCUUUCCUCCUUAAUUCAAGGUCGUUGCUGGGCUAUUUGGCUUUCCCUCCCUGGAUUCGUUUUUCCUGUAGGAAAAUAGGUACCGAGGGCUAGGACAGUCUUCAACUCACCCUCUUUGCUUUCCCUCUCUUAGGGAUCCGUGUCCUGUCUUAUUUACUUGAUGUGCAGGACCUAAAAGCUGAGCCCAGUUUUUCAGUUCCCGUCAUUGUAUUACAAUAUUAAUGGGUUAGUAGAUUGGGCUGGGGUGAUAGAUCCGGUUCCUGUUACUCCAUCUUGGCUGGAAGCAGAAGUCUUAAACAGUAUCACUUUUGUGUCUGUGGGAACGUUUUUGACAACUAUUUUAAUUUCUUUCAUACAUCUAGGAUGUAACCGUCCAGUAGGUGAUUCAUUUCCAUUUAUUAAUUGUCAGUUCUUGUUCGUGUCUUUCCUUGGGCCUAUAGCUUCCUUCAUACACUCAACAGCUUCACAAAAAGUUGGUGUGGAUUUAUUUCAGCCUUUUCCCACUGGUGCCCUCCAUGAGGAACAAUGAUCAUGACUUCAGGUCCCCAUUUCCUAUCAGAAUCUUUUAACUCUGCCUGUCCUCUUUUGUUUCUAAAGUCAAAACUCAGGUCUUCUUCCCUGCUCCACCAUGACCUUGGGGACCCAUGAUGCCCAGGAUGUGAUUUUCCUGGUGCUCCAACACCAGCAGCUUCUUCUGAUUGUGCUAGACAACACGUUGAAUUUAUUUAGAAAAUAUACCAAAAAUCCGAUUAUGUUCUCCUAGAAGGUAAACCUUGUUGCUGUGUAUGCAGACUGUGAGAAGGGCAAGUCAGCGGACAGGCUUCAGGCCUCCGCCAUAUUUGCUACCCGCCACACCCAGCAUCCUUGCCUCUACUGCCUGUUGAAAGGCAGAUGGCUCCCUCUGGGCUGCAAUCCCUCCGUAUUUUUUCUGGACUAUGUCUUCAUAUUCUGCAUCAUUGAGCUCCGCUCUCCCACUCACUUUCCACCUUCUAGAAAGGUGUUGAGGUUUAUCCACUAAUAAAUUAUCUUUUGUUCUUUUCACUGCUGUUUGCCCCCCUGUUUUAAAUUGCCAUAUCUUAUUCUAGUGGGAUCCCAGGAACAAGAGGACUGUGCUCUUUUCGUAAUCUCCAAAUGGCAUCAAUUGUUCGUUGCUAGAGCUAAAGGUUAUUUUUUUCUGAAACUUUCAUUUUGUUCUUUGAUGCUUGACAAAUUCCUUUCCUUGAAAUUGUGUUUGCUCUUCUUUCAAUAACUUCAAUCUCAGUUGGGUUUACGCUUAUUUAUUUGGAUACAGCAUCUCAAUCUUCACUUCCUCUUUGCGGAGCAGUCCCCCUUCCUUCCUUCUUUCCUUCCUCCCUCCCUCUCCCUCAUAAUGAGGAUUAAACCCUGGGGCACUUUAACACGGAGCUAAAUCCCGCUUUUUAUUUUUAGAUAUAAUCUUGCUAAGUUUCUGAGACUGGCCUCAAACUCCAUAAUCCUCCUGCCUCAGCCUCCCAAGUAGCUGGGAUUGUAGGUGUGUGCUCUAAUUCCUUUACAGGUUUCCGCUCCCCAGAUUUCUAUCUUUGGCCUCCUCUUUCUCUUAGUAUGCCUUUUGGACAUUUCCAUUUGAUAGCCAGCCAGUGUUUCAAAUUCAUAUAUCCCAAAUUGCACUUAUCUUCACUUCUGAAUCUGCUGCCCCAAAUGAACCUUGUGUCUUGAUGAGCAGUACUUCUAUGUUUCUAACCAUCAACCCAAAAAUUCAGAAGCCAUCUUCACUUCCCAUUUCACAUAUAAUUGGCCGUUAUGUCCUGUCUAUAAUACCUCUUGAGUAUGGCUCAGAAUUAUUCAUUUCUUUCCAUCAUCUCAUCUAUUGCUUCUUUUAUUUAACUAUCAAUAAAUUUUUUACUACAGAAAAUUUUAUACAUAGUAAAAUGUACAUGUUACUCACCCUAACCAAUUACUGACAUUUGGCUAGUCUUGUCUAAUUUAUAUUCUUCCCUUACUUCACACCUCCACUGAGUUAUUCUAAAAUAAGUUCCAGAUGUUGUCCUAUCAUUUCAUUGGUAAAAUCCUCAGUACGUAUUUCUAAAAGACAAACUUUUUUUAAAGACCUAAGUAUAAAAUCUUUAUCAUCAUCUCAGUAAUUUCUUAAUAAUAUAGUCACAUGUCCAGUAAGUGUUUACAUUCCCUAGGUUUUCUUGCAAGUUUUUGUUUUUAUAGUAGUUUAGUUCAAAUCUGUAACUAAGCAAAAUCUACACACUGUAUUUGAUUAAGACAUUACUGAGUCUCCUUCAGUUCUUUUUCCUUUUUUUUUUUCCCCCUGAAGUAAUCAAGUCAUUUGUCCUGUAGAGUUUUUUUACAAUUGGGAAUAAUUUGAUUGCAUCCUCCUGGUGUCUUUAAACAUGUUUUUCUAUAUUCAUAUUUUUGGUAAACUCAUAUUUAGAUCUAGGGGCUCGAUUAACUUUUUUCAAGAAUGGUUUCUGGGCUGGGGAUGUGGCUCAAGUGGUAGCGCGCCCGCCUGGCAUGCGUGCGGCCCGGGUUCGAUCCUCAGCACCACAUACAAACAAAGAUGUUGUGUCCGCCAAUAACUAAAAGAAAUAAAUAUUUAAAAAAAA